UACGUAGGGGGCGAGCGUUGUCCGGAUUUAUUGGGCGUAAAGAGCGUGUAGGCGGCCAGGUAGGUCUGCUGUGAAAACUCGAGGCUCAACCUCGAGACGUCGGCGGAAACCAUCUGGCUAGAGUCCGGAAGAGGAGAGUGGAAUUCCUGGUGUAGCGGUGAAAUGCGCAGAUAUCAGGAAGAACACCCGUGGCGAAGGCGGCUCUCUGGGACGGUACUGACGCUGAGACGCGAAAGCGUGGGUAGCAAACAGG
This 253-nucleotide ribosomal RNA is filed under the name uncultured bacterium. RNAcentral describes it as "partial 16S ribosomal RNA". It matches the Rfam family "Bacterial small subunit ribosomal RNA", at positions 524 to 776 of the family's 1533-position model. The record is from RNAcentral.